CGUGUAGGUGGUUUGGUAAGUCGGAUGUGAAGUCCUAAGGCUCAACCUUGGAACUGCAUUCGAAACUUCCAGACUAGAGUCCAGGAGAGGAAAGUGGAAUUUCCAGUGUAGGAGUGAAAUCCGUAGAUAUUGGAAGGAACACCAGUAGCGAAAGCGACUUUCUGGCCUGGUACUGACACUCAGACGCGAAAGCGUGGGGAGCAAACA
RNAcentral lists this ribosomal RNA (207 nucleotides) under uncultured bacterium. Its description in RNAcentral is "partial 16S ribosomal RNA". It matches the Rfam family "Bacterial small subunit ribosomal RNA", at positions 568 to 774 of the family's 1533-position model. The record is from RNAcentral.